AUUGAACGCUGGCGGCAGGCCUAACGCAUGCAAGUCGAGCGGAUGAAGGGAGCUUGCUCCUGGAUUCAGCGGCGGACGGGUGAGUAAUGCCUAGGAAUCUGCCUGGCAGUGGGGGAUAACGUCCGGAAACGGGCGCUAAUACCGCAUACGUCCUGAGGGAGAAAGUGGGGGAUCUUCGGACCUCACGCUAUCAGAUGAGCCUAGGUCGGAUUAGCUAGUUGGUGGGGUAAAGGCCUACCAAGGCGACGAUCCGUAACUGGUCUGAGAGGAUGAUCAGUCACACUGGAACUGAGACACGGUCCAGACUCCUACGGGAGGCAGCAGUGGGGAAUAUUGGACAAUGGGCGAAAGCCUGAUCCAGCCAUGCCGCGUGUGUGAAGAAGGUCUUCGGAUUGUAAAGCACUUUAAGUUGGGAGGAAGGGCAGUAAGUUAAUACCUUGCUGUUUUGACGUUACCAACAGAAUAAGCACCGGCUAACUUCGUG
RNAcentral lists this ribosomal RNA (484 nucleotides) under uncultured bacterium. RNAcentral's name for it is "partial 16S ribosomal RNA". It matches the Rfam family "Bacterial small subunit ribosomal RNA", at positions 30 to 507 of the family's 1533-position model. The record is from RNAcentral.